RNAcentral lists this ribosomal RNA (926 nucleotides) under Cudoniella sp. PBM1851. Its description in RNAcentral is "eukaryotic LSU rRNA". It matches the Rfam family "Eukaryotic large subunit ribosomal RNA", at positions 30 to 973 of the family's 3401-position model. The record is from RNAcentral. Lineage: Eukaryota; Fungi; Ascomycota; Leotiomycetes; Helotiales; Helotiaceae.
GAACUUAAGCAUAUCAAUAAGCGGAGGAAAAGAAACCAACAGGGAUUACCUCAGUAACGGCGAGUGAAGCGGUAACAGCUCAAAUUUGAAAUCUGGCUCUUUCAGGGUCCGAGUUGUAAUUUGUAGAAGAUGCUUCGGGUGUGGCUCCGGUCUAAGUUCCUUGGAACAGGACGUCAUAGAGGGUGAGAAUCCCGUAUGUGACUGGUUGCCUUCGCCCAUGUGAAGCUCUUUCGACGAGUCGAGUUGUUUGGGAAUGCAGCUCUAAAUGGGUGGUAAAUUUCAUCUAAAGCUAAAUAUUGGCCAGAGACCGAUAGCGCACAAGUAGAGUGAUCGAAAGAUGAAAAGCACUUUGGAAAGAGAGUUAAACAGUACGUGAAAUUGUUGAAAGGGAAGCGCUUGCAACCAGACUUGCACGUCGUCGAUCAUCCUCAGUUCUCUGGGGUGCACUCGGCGGUGUUCAGGCCAGCAUCGGUUUCGGUGGUGGGAUAAAGGCCUUGGGAAUGUGGCUCCUCUCGGGGAGUGUUAUAGCCCUCGGUGCAAUGCCGCCUACUGGGACCGAGGACCGCGCUUCGGCUAGGAUGCUGGCGUAAUGGUUGUAAGCGACCCGUCUUGAAACACGGACCAAGGAGUCUAACAUCUAUGCGAGUGUUUGGGUGUUAAACCCAUACGCGUAAUGAAAGUGAACGGAGGUGAGAACCCUUUAGGGUGCAUCAUCGACCGAUCCUGAUGUCUUCGGAUGGAUUUGAGUAAGAGCAUAGCUGUUGGGACCCGAAAGAUGGUGAACUAUGCCUAAAUAGGGUGAAGCCAGAGGAAACUCUGGUGGAGGCUCGCAGCGGUUCUGACGUGCAAAUCGAUCGUCAAAUUUGGGUAUAGGGGCGAAAGACUAAUCGAACCAUCUAGUAGCUGGUUCCUGCCGAAGUUUCCCU